RNAcentral lists this long non-coding RNA (284 nucleotides) under Pan troglodytes (chimpanzee). Its description in RNAcentral is "long non-coding RNA NONPTRT016991". Lineage: Eukaryota; Metazoa; Chordata; Mammalia; Primates; Hominidae. The record is from RNAcentral.
CCCAACCACAGUUUGGUUGUUUGGUUAAGGAUUUUAAAAGAUGACCCCUGGCAUAUGGUGAGCACUCAUGAUGACGACUGCUGUGGACCUGUUGUCUUGUCAGGACACCUGAGAGCUUCCUUUUGAAAAAGAAAAAUUAGAACUGAGGCAAUGAACACAGGCCUUUUCCCCAGCAUCAUCCAGGGAACCUGUGACCCACAGGGCCAGGGGUCCUAGGUCCAGAGACUGAGGGAGGUCAGGUACUCCCUGGGUCCCUUUCCCCUGGUAAAUGGUGGAGUUUCGCC